CCUACGGGGGGCAGCAGUGAGGAAUAUUGGUCAAUGGGCGAGAGCCUGAACCAGCCAAGUCGCGUGAAGGAUGAAGGCUCUAUGGUUUGUAAACUUCUUUUAUAUGGGAAUAAAGUGAGGAACGUGUUCCUUUUUGUAUGUACCAUAUGAAUAAGCAUCGGCUAACUCCGUGCCAGCAGCCGCGGUAAUACGGAGGAUGCGAGCGUUAACCGGAUUUUUAGGGAUUAAAGGGUGCGGAGGUGGUUCAUUAAGUCAGCGGUGUAAGUUUGUGGCUCAACCAUAAAAUUGCCGUUGAAACUGGUUGACUUGAGGAUAUUUGAGGUAGGCGGAAAGCGAGGUGGAGCGGUGAAAGGCAUAGAUAUCACGCAGAACUCCGAUUGCGAAGGCAGCUUACUAAACUAUAACUGACACUGAAGCACGAAAGCGUGGGGAUCAAACAGGAUUAGAUACCCUUGUAGUC
RNAcentral lists this ribosomal RNA (460 nucleotides) under uncultured bacterium. RNAcentral describes it as "partial 16S ribosomal RNA". It matches the Rfam family "Bacterial small subunit ribosomal RNA", at positions 338 to 795 of the family's 1533-position model. The record is from RNAcentral.